ACAAUAAUUUGGAGUAGUCGGAAGCGUUGGGGCUGGAGGGCUGUGGGCAGUGUUGCGUCGGGGACGUGGCGGAGUUGAAGGCAGCGUGGGGCGGGGGGCUACGGAGGUGCAAGUUCGGGCCAGGCAGUCGCUCCCAGUGCAGAGCUUAUCCUUGGAAGGGGCUUCUGCUAGCAGUCAUGCUCAGAUAUCGUACGCUCCAUGGCCUCUGGCAGGUGG
Molecule: non-coding RNA, 216 nt
Organism: Coturnix japonica (Japanese quail)
Lineage: Eukaryota; Metazoa; Chordata; Aves; Galliformes; Phasianidae
Source: RefSeq, a predicted model, not a curated record